This 484-nucleotide ribosomal RNA is filed under the name uncultured bacterium. RNAcentral describes it as "partial 16S ribosomal RNA". It matches the Rfam family "Bacterial small subunit ribosomal RNA", at positions 30 to 507 of the family's 1533-position model. The record is from RNAcentral.
AUUGAACGCUGGCGGCAGGCCUAACACAUGCAAGUCGAGCGGAGGAAGGGAGCUUGCUCCUGGAUUCAGCGGCGGACGGGUGAGUAAUGCCUAGGAAUCUGCCUGGUAGUGGGGGAUAACGUCCGGAAACGGGCGCUAAUACCGCAUACGUCCUUAGUGAGAAAGUGUGGGAUCUUCGGACCUCACGCUAUCAUAUUAGCCUAGGUCGGAUUAGCUAGUUGGUGGGGUAAAGGCCUACCAAGGCGACGAUCCGUAACUGGUCUGAGAGGAUGAUCAGUCACACUGGAACUGAGAAACGGUCCAGACUCCUACGGGAGGCAGCAGUGGGGAAUAUUGGAGAAAGGGCGAAAGACUGAUCCAGCAAUGCCGCGUGUGUGAAGAAGGUCUUCGGAUUGUAAAGCACUUUAAGUUGGGAGGAAGGGCAGUAAGUUAAUACCUUGCUGUUUUGACGUUACCAACAGAAUAAGCACCGGCUAACUUCGUG